RNAcentral lists this ribosomal RNA (588 nucleotides) under Entoloma haastii. RNAcentral describes it as "LSU rRNA". It matches the Rfam family "Eukaryotic large subunit ribosomal RNA", at positions 66 to 638 of the family's 3401-position model. Lineage: Eukaryota; Fungi; Basidiomycota; Agaricomycetes; Agaricales; Entolomataceae. The record is from RNAcentral.
UAACAAGGAUUCCCCUAGUAACUGCGAGUGAAGCGGGAAAAGCUCAAAUUUAAAAUCUGGUAGUCUUUGGCUGCCCGAGUUGUAAUCUAGAGAAGUGUUAUCCGCGCUGGACCGUGUACAAGUCUCCUGGAAUGGAGCGUCAUAGAGGGUGAGAAUCCCGUCUUUGACACGGACUACCAGGGCUUUGUGAUGCGCUCUCAAAGAGUCGAGUUGUUUGGGAAUGCAGCUCUAAAUGGGUGGUAAAUUCCAUCUAAAGCUAAAUAUUGGCGAGAGACCGAUAGCGAACAAGUACCGUGAGGGAAAGAUGAAAAGAACUUUGGAAAGAGAGUUAAACAGUACGUGAAAUUGUUGAAAGGGAAACGCUUGAAGUCAGUCGCGUUGGCCAGGGAUCAACCUUGCUUUUGCUUGGCGUACUUCCUGGUUAACGGGUCAGCAUCAAUUUUGAUCAGUGGAUAAAGGUUAGGGGAAUGUGGCAUCUUCGGAUGUGUUAUAGCCCUUGGCUGCAUACAUUGGUUGGGAUUGAGGAACUCAGCACGCCGCAAGGCCGGGUUUUAACCACGUUCGUGCUUAGGAUGCUGGCAUAAUGGC